UGAAUCCGCGCGGGAGAGUUCCGGGCACACGUCUGUGUGCCGGACGCCGAAGGAGCAAGUCCCUCCCUUGAAUCUCUCAGGCCCCGAUACCGCGCGGGCGAG
Molecule: non-coding RNA, 102 nt
Filed under: Streptomyces sp.
Lineage: Bacteria; Bacillati; Actinomycetota; Actinomycetes; Kitasatosporales; Streptomycetaceae
Also listed under: 1 other name
Description: Glycine sequence
Rfam family: Glycine riboswitch aptamer
About the family: This family represents the bacterial glycine riboswitch. Glycine riboswitches usually consist of two metabolite-binding aptamers domains with similar structures in tandem.
Source: RNAcentral